CUACGGGCGGCACCAGUGGGGAAUAUUGGACAAUGGACCAAAAGUCUGAUCCAGCAAUUCUGUGUGCACGAUGACGGUCUUCGGAUUGUAAAGUGCUUUCAGUUGGGAAGAAAAAAAUGACGGUACCAACAGAAGAAGCGACGGCUAAAUACGUGCCAGCAGCCGCGGUAAUACGUAUGUCGCAAGCGUUAUCCGGAUUUAUUGGGCGUAAAGCGCGUCUAGGUGGUUUGAUAAGUCUGAUGUGAAAAUGCGGGGCUCAACUCCGUAUUGCGUUGGAAACUGUCAAACUAGAGUAUCGGAGAGGUGGGCGGAACUACAAGUGUAGAGGUGAAAUUCGUAGAUAUUUGUAGGAAUGCCGAUAGAGAAGUCAGCUCACUGGACGAAUACUGACACUGAAGCGCGAAAGCAUGGGGAGCAAACAGGAUUAGAUACCCGCGUAGUC
Molecule: ribosomal RNA, 442 nt
Filed under: uncultured bacterium
Lineage: Bacteria
Description: partial 16S ribosomal RNA
Rfam family: Bacterial small subunit ribosomal RNA
Source: RNAcentral